RNAcentral lists this transfer RNA (74 nucleotides) under Geobacillus sp. CAMR12739. Its description in RNAcentral is "tRNA-Gly". It matches the Rfam family "tRNA". Rfam says of the family: Transfer RNA (tRNA) molecules are approximately 80 nucleotides in length. Their secondary structure includes four short double-helical elements and three loops (D, anti-codon, and T loops). Lineage: Bacteria; Bacillati; Bacillota; Bacilli; Caryophanales; Anoxybacillaceae. The record is from RNAcentral.
GCGGAAGUAGUUCAGCGGUAGAACACCACCUUGCCAAGGUGGGGGGUUCGCGGGUUCGAGUCCCGUCUUCCGCU